This 252-nucleotide ribosomal RNA is filed under the name uncultured bacterium. Its description in RNAcentral is "partial 16S ribosomal RNA". It matches the Rfam family "Bacterial small subunit ribosomal RNA", at positions 524 to 776 of the family's 1533-position model. The record is from RNAcentral.
UACGUAGGGGGCGAGCGUUAUCCGGAAUCACUGGGCGUAAAGGGUGCGUAGGCGGCCGAUAAAGUCAGGGGUGAAAGGCUACGGCUUAACCGUAGUAAGCCUUUGAAACUUAUUGGCUUGAGUGCAGGAGAGGAGAGUGGAAUUCCUAGUGUAGCGGUGAAAUGCGUAGAUAUUAGGAGGAACACCAGUGGCGAAGGCGACUCUCUGGACUGUAACUGACGCUGAGGCACGAAAGCGUGGGGAGCGAACAGG